GCGCAAUGGGCGAAAGCCUGACGCAGCGACGCCGCGUGAGGGAUGACGGCCUUCGGGUUGUAAACCUCUUUCAGCACCGACGAAGCUAACGUGACGGUAGGUGCAGAAGAAGCGCCGGCUAACUACGUGCCAGCAGCCGCGGUAAUACGUAGGGCGCAAGCGUUGUCCGGAAUUAUUGGGCGUAAAGAGCUCGUAG
RNAcentral lists this ribosomal RNA (196 nucleotides) under Actinomadura viridis. Its description in RNAcentral is "partial 16S ribosomal RNA". It matches the Rfam family "Bacterial small subunit ribosomal RNA", at positions 366 to 574 of the family's 1533-position model. Lineage: Bacteria; Bacillati; Actinomycetota; Actinomycetes; Streptosporangiales; Thermomonosporaceae. The record is from RNAcentral.